GCCUUCAUAGUGCAGUGGUCAGCACAUUCGGCUCAUAUUCGAGAGUUCUGUGUUUUGAGUCCCGGCAAGGGCA
This 73-nucleotide transfer RNA is filed under the name Stegodyphus mimosarum. It matches the Rfam family "tRNA". Rfam says of the family: Transfer RNA (tRNA) molecules are approximately 80 nucleotides in length. Their secondary structure includes four short double-helical elements and three loops (D, anti-codon, and T loops). Further hydrogen bonds mediate the characteristic L-shaped molecular structure. tRNAs have two regions of fundamental functional importance: the anti-codon, which is responsible for specific mRNA codon recognition, and the 3' end, to which the tRNAs corresponding amino acid is attached (by aminoacyl-tRNA synthetases). tRNAs cope with the degeneracy of the genetic code in two manners: having more than one tRNA (with a specific anti-codon) for a particular amino acid; and 'wobble' base-pairing, i.e. permitting non-standard base-pairing at the 3rd anti-codon position. Lineage: Eukaryota; Metazoa; Arthropoda; Arachnida; Araneae; Eresidae. The record is from Rfam by way of RNAcentral.